GAAUGUAACUCAGUGGUAGAGCUCUUGCCUAGCAUGUAUGAGGCCUUAGUUCAAAGCCCAGCACCA
Molecule: transfer RNA, 66 nt
Filed under: Marmota monax (woodchuck)
Lineage: Eukaryota; Metazoa; Chordata; Mammalia; Rodentia; Sciuridae
Description: tRNA.Ala
Source: RNAcentral